CCCCGGUCUCCUCUUCGAGUUGUCCUCCAGACCACAAGGUGGCGCAUUAUGCUACAUUCAAAAUGAGAAAAACCUUCAAUGAAGAAGUUAAGAAGAACAUUCUUUUCGGAAUCAAACGAACCCAAAACUGCAUAAUAAUGUCUGAAAAGCAUAGAAACCUUCCUCCCUGGAUGGUGAAAUCUGACGUUCAAAGAAGCAAAGACAAUGAAGCGGUGCUAAAGAAAACGCGUGGUGAAACUACAAAAAGGAUAGCGAAGAAGCGGCUCAAAAGUGUCAAGUACUGGAUGAACGAGCGGGAGCUCGUGGAAACAGCGCUCAACCUUUUGAAGGAUGAUAAGGCAUGUGCUAAAGAUGCAAUGCAAGCCCCAGAGGAGCUAAGGAUCAUUCCGGAGACAGAUGAAGAUGUGCAGGACAGAACAAAUGUUUCAAACAUUGCAGAGCAGGAGACCGUGCCAUAUGGAAACUGCAUGCAGGAAAGUGCCAGAACAAAACCAGACUGCCAUCUGAAACCUCCUUCUGAUGGUUCAGGAGCUUCUGAGAAGCAUGAUGUGGAUGAUGAGGCUCUUGAACUUGUUAGAGAGAUUUUCUUCAAAUAAUUUAAACCUGACGUGAAACAGUGCUGGCUAACAUCAUUUUACCAAAUAAUAUUUAAAGAGAUACUUCAUCAUGUAGUCAUCCUCAUGCCAUUGCAAACCUGCCCGUUUUUCUUCUGUGUAGCACAAAAGAUAAUAAUUUGAAGAAUGAAGAAUUUUUGGUCCUUCAAAAAGGACCAAAAAUAGGCGUAAUGAAUCGGCCACUCUUAUGUGUUUUUUUUUAUUUUAUUAUAUUUGAAGCUUGACAACUUCAUAAUGAAUUAGUAACUUAUUGUCUGGAAAAUGAAUAUUAUUCAAAAUUUCUCUUUUGUGUUCCCUAGAGCAAAGAAAGUAAUUUGGGUUUGGGACGACAUGAGGGUGAGUAAAUAGUUUUUGGUGGAUUAUCUCUUUUUACUUUACUUUUGUUUCUUUUUUUUAUAUUGCAGCUUCAGGGAAUGAAAAUCUAGUUAUGAUUUGUAUGGGUUUUUUGUUCUGUUGGUUGAUGCCUGAACAAAGGUGAUUUCUGAUUUGUUUUCUAAACCAACUGCUCUAGUAACUGUCAUUUGCACGCUUGCACUUUCUAGAGUCCUUUGGGAAAGACAGCAACAACAAAGAACAAAUGAGAAUGUUCAAUGACAUGUAAGAAUAUAUUGUAUAUUUAUUAAUUUUUAUUAAAAAAAGAACCCUCCGAUU
Molecule: long non-coding RNA, 1265 nt
Filed under: Sinocyclocheilus grahami
Lineage: Eukaryota; Metazoa; Chordata; Actinopteri; Cypriniformes; Cyprinidae
Description: lncRNA (ENSSGRG00000048829.1)
Source: RNAcentral